UACAGAGGGGGCGAGCGUUGUCCGAAGUUACUGGGCGUAAAGCGCGCGUAGGCGGUCCGUUAAGUCCGGGGUGAAAGGUUCAGCGCUCAACGUGAACAGUGCCUUGGAGACUGGGGGACUUGAGUGUGGGAGGGGGCGGUGGAAUUCCCGGUGUAGCGGUGAAAUGCGUAGAUAUCAGGAGGAACACCGGUGGCGAAGGCGGUUCUCUGGGCAUGACCUGACGCUGAGGAGCGAAAGUGUGGGGAGCGAACAGG
This 254-nucleotide ribosomal RNA is filed under the name uncultured bacterium. RNAcentral's name for it is "partial 16S ribosomal RNA". It matches the Rfam family "Bacterial small subunit ribosomal RNA", at positions 524 to 776 of the family's 1533-position model. The record is from RNAcentral.